Molecule: ribosomal RNA, 254 nt
Filed under: uncultured bacterium
Lineage: Bacteria
Description: partial 16S ribosomal RNA
Rfam family: Bacterial small subunit ribosomal RNA
Source: RNAcentral
UACGUAGGGGGCAAGCGUUGUCCGGAUUCAUUGGGCGUAAAGAGCUCGUAGGCGGUUCAGUAAGUCGGGUGUGAAAGCUCCGAGCUCAACUCGGAGAGGCCACCCGAUACUGCUGUGACUUGAGUCCAGUAGAGGAGCGUGGAAUUCCUGGUGUAGCGGUGAAAUGCGCAGAUAUCAGGAGGAACACCAGUGGCGAAGGCGACUACCUGGCCUGUUCUUGACGCUGAGGCGCGAAAGCUAGGGGAGCAAACGGG